Serratia fonticola is the source of this 154-nucleotide non-coding RNA. It matches the Rfam family "sok antitoxin (CssrC)". Rfam says of the family: Also identified in Shigella as CssrC. Lineage: Bacteria; Pseudomonadati; Pseudomonadota; Gammaproteobacteria; Enterobacterales; Yersiniaceae. The record is from Rfam.
GGGUGCUCUGGAUCUUUUUGUCCUGAGCAUUAGCAAGGGAUAGAAAGAGAAAAGCCCCGAAUCGAUGUAAAUCAACCCGAGGCCACUCUUAUGCAUGAACACCAUAAAGGUAGCCUCUUACCCGCCGAAAGGCAAGGACAAGGAGGCUAUCAUG